Molecule: ribosomal RNA, 204 nt
Filed under: Triticum aestivum (bread wheat)
Lineage: Eukaryota; Viridiplantae; Streptophyta; Magnoliopsida; Poales; Poaceae
Description: partial small subunit ribosomal RNA
Source: RNAcentral
AUGAGGAAAGUAUUAUUCGCCAACAGGGAUGAAUAUCUCUUCUUUGGAGAAGAAAAUAGGCUGAAAGUAUUUCAGCCAAAUACAUUCAAUUUCAAGCCAAAACUCAUAUCAAGCUUGAUGAAGCUCAAAGAUGCAUAUUGGAUAAUUUUUGUUCCAAUAUACUCUCAAGAGAGAGGAAAAAGGAUAUUUUUUAUCAAUUCUUAA